AACGAACGCUGGCGGCAUGCCUAACACAUGCAAGUCGAACGAGACCUUCGGGUCUAGUGGCGCACGGGUGCGUAACGCGUGGGAACCUGCCCUUAGGUUCGGAAUAACUCCCCGACAGGGGUGCUAAUACCGGAUAAUGUCCUCUGACCAAAGAUUUAUCGCCUUUGGAUGGGCCCGCGUUGGAUUAGCUUGUUGGUAGGGUAAAAGCCUACCAAGGCGACGAUCCAUAGCUGGUCUGAGAGGAUGAUCAGCCACACUGGGACUGAGACACGGCCAAGACUCCUACGGGAGGCAGCAGUGGGGAAUAUUGGACAAUGGGCGAAAGCCUGAUCCAGCAAUGCCGCGUGAGUGAUGAAGGCCUUAGGGUUGUAAAGCUCUUUUACCCGGGAUGAUAAUGACAGUACCGGGAGAAUAAGCACCGGCUAACUCCGUG
RNAcentral lists this ribosomal RNA (433 nucleotides) under uncultured bacterium. RNAcentral's name for it is "partial 16S ribosomal RNA". It matches the Rfam family "Bacterial small subunit ribosomal RNA", at positions 29 to 507 of the family's 1533-position model. The record is from RNAcentral.